This 479-nucleotide ribosomal RNA is filed under the name uncultured bacterium. RNAcentral describes it as "bacterial SSU rRNA". It matches the Rfam family "Bacterial small subunit ribosomal RNA", at positions 29 to 506 of the family's 1533-position model. The record is from RNAcentral.
GUUAACGCUGGCAGCGUGCAUAACACAUGCAAGUCGAACGGAGCAUUCUGCGAUUACAUCAAGGGAUGCUUAGUGGCAGACGAGUGAGUAACACGUAAGGAAUCUACCCUUGAGAAGGGGAUAACAUGCUGAAAGGCGUGCUAAUACCCUAUACGAUCCCUGGAAGGCAUCUUUCGGGGAUGAAAGGCGUAAGCCGUUCAAGGAGGAUCUUGCGACCUAUCAGCUUGUUGGCGGGGUAACGGCCCACCAAGGCUACGACGGGUACCCGGCCUGAAAGGGCGACCGGGCACGGAGGCACUGAGACACGGGCCUCACUCCUACGGGAGGCAGCAGUGGGGAAUUUUGGACAAUGGGGGAAACCCUGAUCCAGCAACGCUGCGUGAAGGAUGAAGGUCUUCGGAUCGUAAACUUCUUUUCUAGGGGACGAAACCCCGCAAGGGUCUGACGGUACUCUAGGAAUAAGCCACGGCUAAAUAUGU